UGAUCCUGGCUCAGGAUGAACGCUGGCGGCGUGCUUAACACAUGCAAGUCGAACGAAGCCCUCGGGCUUAGUGGCGGACGGGUGAGUAACGCGUGAGAAUCUACCUUCGAGAUGGGGACAACCGUUGGAAACGACGGCUAAUCCCCAAUAAGCCGAAAGGUGAAAGGGUUUCCGCUCGCAGAGGAGCUCGCGUCCGAUUAGUUAGUUGGUGGGGUAAGAGCCUACCAAGGCAGCGAUCGGUAGCUGGUCUGAGAGGAUGAGCAGCCACACUGGGACUGAGACACGGCCCAGACUCCUACGGGAGGCAGCAGUGGGGAAUUUUCCGCAAUGGGCGCAAGCCUGACGGAGCAACGCCGCGUGUGGGAAGAAGGCUCUUGGGCUGUCAACCACUUUUCUCAGGGAAGAAGUCCUGACGGUACCUGAGGAAUCAGCCUCGGCUAACUCCGUGCCAGCAGCCGCGGUAAUACGGAGGAGGCAAGCGUUAUCCGGAAUUAUUGGGCGUAAAGCGUCCGCAGGGGGCACUUCAAGUCUGCUGUCAAAGGUCGGAGCUUAACUCCGGUUCGGCAGUGGAAACUGGAGUGCUAGAGGGCGACAGGGGUAGAGGGAAUUCCCAGUGUAGCGGUGAAAUGCGUAGAGAUUGGGAAGAACACCGGUGGCGAAAGCGCUCUACUGGGUCGCACCUGACCCUCAGGGACGAAAGCUAAGGUAGCGAAAGGGAUUAGAUACCCCUGUAGUCUUAGCCGUAAACGAUGGAUACUAGGCGUGGUUUGUAUCGACCCAAGCCGUGCCGAAGCUAACGCGUUAAGUAUCCCGCCUGGGGAGUACGCACGCAAGUGUGAAACUCACAGGAAUUGACAGGGGGCCCGCAC
RNAcentral lists this ribosomal RNA (869 nucleotides) under uncultured organism. Its description in RNAcentral is "bacterial SSU rRNA". It matches the Rfam family "Bacterial small subunit ribosomal RNA", at positions 14 to 926 of the family's 1533-position model. The record is from RNAcentral.